This 431-nucleotide ribosomal RNA is filed under the name uncultured bacterium. RNAcentral's name for it is "partial 16S ribosomal RNA". It matches the Rfam family "Bacterial small subunit ribosomal RNA", at positions 29 to 506 of the family's 1533-position model. The record is from RNAcentral.
ACGAACGCUGGCGGCAUGCCUAACACAUGCAAGUCGAACGAUGCUUUCGGGCAUAGUGGCGCACGGGUGCGUAACGCGUGGGAAUCUGCCCUUGGGUUCGGAAUAACAGUGAGAAAUUGCUGCUAAUACCGGAUGAUGUCUUCGGACCAAAGAUUUAUCGCCCAGGGAUGAGCCUGCGUAGGAUUAGCGAGUUGGUGGGGUAAUGGCCUACCAAGGCGACGAUCCUUAGCUGGUGUGAGAGGAGGAUCAGGCACACUGGGACGGGGACACGGCCCAGACUCCUACGGGAGGCAGCAGUGGGGAAUAUUGGACAGUGGGCGCAAGCCUGAUCCAGCAAUGCCGCGUGAGUGAUGAAGGCCUUAGGGUUGUAAAGCUCUUUUACCCGGGAUGAUAAUGACAGUACCGGUAGAAUAAGCUCCGGCUAACUCCGU